Molecule: long non-coding RNA, 3317 nt
Filed under: Arabidopsis thaliana (thale cress)
Lineage: Eukaryota; Viridiplantae; Streptophyta; Magnoliopsida; Brassicales; Brassicaceae
Description: potential natural antisense gene, locus overlaps with AT1G80320 (AT1G80325)
Source: RNAcentral
AAAAACCUAAAUUAAAUGCGAAUCUUGUAUUAUUAUUACAAAAACUGAAAAAGAGUUGUAUUAUAGAUUAAACACAUGAUGAUGACCAAAUUUAACAUACACAAUCUCGCCGUCGAUUUAUCUAAUUACGGCGGCGAUUAGGGUGUGACGCCGCAGUAGAUCUGGAGAAGAUCUUCGCUGGAUUUCUUGAGAGAAUUGAUGUACGACUCGUAGAAGCGUAAGAGGCCGUCGUGCUCGAAAGGAUUGUAGCGGAGGGGAUGUUGGUCAUCGACGAGCUCCUCCGGCGUACGGAUCGUUCCUUUGUGGAAGGAGAAAAACCCUAAAGAGUAUCGAAUCUCAUCUGCACUCAUCACUACCUUGUGGUAACAUGCCUUUAUCCUAUCGUUACUCCACGCCUUCAUCACCAACAAAAAGAUUUCACAUUUAUUGCUAUGUCUAGGUGUUUCGACUAAUCGGAUUUGGUUUAGAGCUCACCGUGAGACCCAUGCCGGAGAGAACGACGAAUCUUGUUGGGGACGGGUUAAACCCGACCCAUUGGCCGGUCAUGGUUUUCAACUGGAGACCUCCGACGUGGUUCUGGUGGAGGAUACUCAUGAAGCUCUUAUCAGUGUGUGACACGAAACCAGUGUUUGCUUCACCGUUUUGCUGUCUCCUGUAACUCAGCAUCCUCAACAGGUAUCGAGUUGACUCGGAGUGACUCACAGAAUGCUUCUUCUCAUCCAUUCCAUAGCUUUCAUACAACAUCCUCAUCACCGUCUGGUCUAGCUCCGCCAUUGUCAUUGCAUACAUAUGUGUGGUUUGACUGCAAAUCAUCUGAGAUGUGACAAGAACGACAUAGAUGAAAUGAAAGAAAGUCUUUAUGUGUGUGUUUUUACCAGAAGGGAUCGUUUCCCUGUGGCCAGAGUAGUUUAGAGAAGUCUUUGCAAGCUUGAAGCUCGGUUGCAUAAUCGAUCCCCAAGCUCUCAUGGAUCCGGUAAUCGUCAACUACCAUAGACAUGUAGCCAUGGGACGCCUUGUGGUUCUCGUUCUUGAUUUUGAUUUGGUCUGGGAGAUAAUACAUCUCCUUCAUGCCGGCCAGCAAGUUGUCCCUGAGGUCAGAUGAGACGCCACUGAACUCUGCCACAAACCAACCCUGCCCCUCCAUGGCUCUUCUGACAUCGUCCCUGGUCGUGAUCCAGUGACUCGUGCCUCGCACUAGUUUAUCGCUGGAGAAGUCGAGGAUAGGUAAGCAUUGCUCUUCAUGUGAGUCCAUUGGACUGGAUAGCCAAAAGGUCAGGUGAUGAUGAUGUAUAUAGAGAUCACUCUAGCAUUGCAUUUAUAGAAACAUGUAAACCAGUAGUUGUCAAAGUCAAUUGUACAUUCACAGUGGAUUCGGGAUUCGAUUCUUUAUAGAAAGGACAAUACUUGGGAGAGAUCCAGUUUUGGCUCUUUUAUGCGUCAGCCUUAUGAUUUUCUUUAGUUAAAAGGGCACCAACCCCUAUGAGCGCAGAUGGAAUCGAAGACAUAAGAUGCACUCGCAGCUGCCCGCCAUUUCGUCAUAAGUACUUCUCCAUCAAGUCAUUUUGGCAAGUCCAUCUUAGACAUCACGAGGAGCGGCUUCGGAAUCGACCUGCGACUCAUCACUUGACCGGGAAAACAGAGUUACUGAAGAACAGUCUAACGUUCUUAGCUUCAGUAACAAGUAAAGAACAACUCCACAACCAAAUCCUAAGGCGGCACUCGAGCCAGUCAUCGACACAGCGGCGCAGACCAGCAUGAUGAAGGAAUCUUCUUUGGAGUUCAUGUCUUUGGAAGCCAUUGCCAGUUCGAUUCCCGCGAAUAGCAACAGAACCCCUAAAAUUCCAAUCGGAAACUGACUCAGAAUCCUUACAAAGGAGUUUCCAAACACCAGACCCACAAUCAGUUUCCCGAUUCCGAGAAAAAUAACGGAUAAUCCACUCCUUGCCCCAAACCGAUACUGACCAGCUAACCCACCAGCACCGUGACAGACGGGCAUAGCGCCAAACCAGCACCCUAUUAAGUUCAUCACCCCAACGCUGAUGGAGACUGUAGUCGCAGAGAGUUCCUUGUCAAACAAGUCAUUGGAUAAUUUACAAACUGCGAUCACUGAGUUCAGUACAGAGAGUGGAAUCUGAGGAAUCGCCGCCCUCAGAAACCCGAUUUUCCAAUCAUCCCAACUGAUUCUCAGAAUGUGGAACUUCGAGGGACCGAAUUUAAGGUCUUUGAAAAUGGAUGGAUCACGUAUGAAACAGAGCACUAACCCGAGUGCGAACACGAUCAGCGCAGAUGGAAUCGAAGACAGAAGACGCAGUCUCCUCCGGCGAGACUGGCUUUCGUUGCUGGAAGUCUCGGCGAGAUCUCCAUCUUCAGCUUCUCUGUCGUUGCCAGAGCCGGUGGACAAAAUGAUGAAGAGCAGAGCAGCUAGAGCCAAGAUAAGGCCGUCGAGGCCAAGCCAAAUACGAGGAGAAGAAGAGGGUUUGAGAGUGGCAGUAUCGUAAUUAAACCUGACGUAUUUGAUGGCGGUGAAGGCGAACUGAAGACCUUGAGAAAGCUGGACGCCGCGUACAACUGGGAGAGGGAUGAUGUUGUAGAGGAAAGACAUAGCUCCGGUGGCGCCAAGGAGGAGGAGCGUGGCGGCAGUGGAUGCACCAGCGGCGGCAAUCUGAGAAGGAGUUAGAUGCGGGGAUUCGGAGACAGCGACAGCGGCGAUGGAUUUCAUGGGCUGGACGGGCAUAGGGAUGUCAAAGAGGAGACCGGUGGCGAUGUUGUAGAAACCAGUGAAGAUGAGAGUGGUGGAGAGAUCAAGAUUGGAGACUAGAGUUAGUGUAAGGACGAUGGGGAUGAAGGUGCCGAGAUCACCGACAGCGCCGGAGAGUUCAGAAGAAAGAGGGUUUUUGAGGCGGAGACGGCGACGGAGCCACCCGCAUCUGCUGCGAUCACCGGGGAGCAGAGGAGUUGUAGUUGUCUCCAUGAUUGGAUCUAAAGUCAAAGCUCUCUUUCUCUCUGUUGGUUGACAAUUCUAUUUGAUAAGAAAGAUAAAAAGGAUUGGGAAUCCCCGGGGAAGUUGGAUAAAAGACGGCUUUUCAGACACUGGACGAGUCCAAUGUCCUAACGACGUGCAAAUAUCAACCAUCUUGUAUCUAAAAUAAAUAAUUUAUUGAAUUUCCCGGGACCAUGUGAAAAUAUUGUUACAACAGUACAACUACCUGCUGUUUUUUUUUUUCGCGCAAACGCUUUCCUUUUUUUCAGGUAGCAAUAGAGAGACUCACUCAGCAGCACUCAGUGUUUGUAUUGUUUAUAACUCUUUUCAAAGACUC